UUUUUUUAUUUACUUUUCUGCUGUUAUUUUAAUUGAGUUUUCUGCUGUUUUAUGUGCUAUUCAGAUCUAUUUUUGUCCUGUUUUCUGCAUAUUUUUCUUGCUGUUUUUGUUCAGUUUUCUGCAGAGUUUUAUCCAAUAUUCUGUGCUGUUUUAGUAUUGUUUCUGCAGGUUUUUGUUCACCAGUUUUGUGUCCUGUUUUCUGCAUUAGUUUGCUGCUGUUUUUGUUCAAUAAUCUGCAGAAUUUCCAGCUUUCUGUGCCGCUUUAGUCCAUUUUCUGUGCUGCUUUAGUCCAUUUUAUGUACAGUUUUUUUUAUUGAGUUUUCUGCAGUUCCAUGUGCUAUUCAAUUCUAUUUUGUGUCCUGUUUUCUGCACUGGUUUGCUGCUGUUUAAGUCCAUUUCCUGCAGGUUGUUUAUACAGUUUUUUUUGCAGGUUUAUUUAGGCAGUUUUUGUUCAAUAAUCUGCAGAUUUGCCUCGUUUCUGCAUAAUUGUCUUUGAGCAGAAUUUCUGCAGAAUCUGUGGAAAACUUUUCCUGCAGAUUUUAUGCAGAAUUGUGGCAUAUUUGAGCAGAAUUUCAUUGUUUAUUGUUUCUUAUUCAGGAAAAACUCCAAAAUUCAAGUUUGUGAUUGACAAAGCAAGGCUCUGACCAUUUUUAUCUAUGCGCACCUUAAGACCUUGGCUUUUAAGAGAAAGUAUACUAAUAAAAGAGAUAUUUUGAGGCCGGGAGUUACACGAUUUGCAAGUUCUUUUCUCACCAUGCAAAGUAUAUUGGAGAAAAAAGAAAAGCUGAAAUUUAUGUUUCUCUCGGAGGAAUGGGGUCAGUGCAAAUUCUCAACUAGUGCAAAAGGUGUGGCUUCUUAUGCAACAAUUGUUAAUCAAUCAUUUUGGACUAAUCUUGCAAUGUGUUUUGAGUUGUUCAAACCUUUAGUAAAGGUUCUAAGAAUUGUUGACGGAGAUUGGCGUCCAUCUAUGAGCUUUGUAUAUGGUGAACUCAAAGAUGCCAAGAAAGAAUUUAUUAAACUUUGUAAAGAUACAAAAGAGAUAUACGAGCCCAUUAUCCAAAUUAUAGACUCGAGGGCUAAGGACCGACUUGAUAGUCCUUUACACUCAGCCGGCUACUUGUUAAAUCCUUAUUAUUACUAUCGAGAUGACGAGGCACAAAAAGAUCUGGCAUGUAUGACAGCUAUUUUAACAUGUGUUUGAAGCAUUCUUCCCAGAUAAUUUCCAUGUCCAGCACCUGGUUUCUAAUAUUGAGUUGCUGAAAUAUAAAGGAAUGGAAGGAAUGUUUGGAAAAAAAUUAGCCAAAAUGGGUAGAAUGACCAAUAAUGAUACUUUUGAUGUUGUUGGAUGGUGGUCAAAUUACGGUGCUGAAACUCCGAAUUUGCAAAUGAUGGCCAUGAGGAUACUUUCUUUAACUGAGUUCUUCAGGAUGUGAAAGAAAUUGGAGUACAUUUGAGGGAAUUCAUACCAAAAAGAGGAAUAGAUUAGAUGCAGCAAAAAUGAGCCAUCUAGUAUAUGUGCAAUUUAAUUCAAAACUUUUCAACAAGAAAAAGUGUUAAGUGACCAAUUCUCCUAAAACCUCAAGGUGUUAGGAGGAGGGCUUACCAGGAUCAUAUUAUAUUCUAACAAAAAGAGAAUGAAAGAAAAAUAUAAUGUAUUAAUAGCUAAUGAUGCUAGUAUGGCUCAAGGAUGGAUAGUUGACGGGGGUGAUGAUAAAGAAGAGCUUUCCCAGGAUUCUAACAUCACAAUUCACAAGUGAGGAGAUUGGUGAAGUAACUAGAAGGAUUGUUCGAGAACUUGAUGAAGAAGAUUUUGAAUCGGAAGAUGAAGCUAAUGACAAUGAAAAUCUAACAUUUGAUUUUGAUGAUUAUGAUCAACAGGGAUGGUGAAAGAUUGUUGUGUUUCUUGACUGUAAUUGUAGCUUGAACAUACGUAAUAUGUGUUCUUUGAAGUACAUUUGAUUUUGUGAACAAAGAUAUCAUGGCUUUUAGGCUUUAUUAUAACAUGCGAAUAUAUUUUGUUAUGAAAAA
This is a long non-coding RNA of Daucus carota subsp. sativus, 2028 nucleotides long. RefSeq lists it as uncharacterized. Lineage: Eukaryota; Viridiplantae; Streptophyta; Magnoliopsida; Apiales; Apiaceae. The transcript has 3 exons. The record is from RefSeq and is a predicted model, not a curated record.